CCAGCCCCUAGCAAUGUUGCAGUUUAGAUUGCUGUAUCACAUGUGUAGGUGGCACAGUGGAAAAAGGCUAUGUCAAAGCUCAGUGUUCUUUCCUGUGGACAUGUGAAUGAUUACUGUCCUAACAUU
Small nucleolar RNA from Apodemus sylvaticus (European woodmouse), 126 nucleotides. RefSeq annotates it as small nucleolar RNA SNORA17. The transcript has a single exon. Lineage: Eukaryota; Metazoa; Chordata; Mammalia; Rodentia; Muridae. The record is from RefSeq and is a predicted model, not a curated record.